This 465-nucleotide small RNA is filed under the name Pongo abelii (Sumatran orangutan). RNAcentral describes it as "retained intron". Lineage: Eukaryota; Metazoa; Chordata; Mammalia; Primates; Hominidae. The record is from RNAcentral.
CUCCGCUGGCUGCAUCAUGACGCCUCCUUCGUGGCAGCCAUCCCUUCGACCCAGGUCGUCUACUUCUUCUUCGAGGAGACAGCCAGCGAGUUUGACUUCUUUGAGAGGCUCCACACAUCGCGGGUGGCUAGAGUCUGCAAGAAUGACGUGGGCGGCGAAAAGCUGCUGCAGAAGAAGUGGACCACCUUCCUGAAGGCCCAGCUGCUCUGCACCCAGCCGGGGCAGCUGCCCUUCAACGUCAUCCGCCACGCGGUCCUGCUCCCCGCCGAUUCUCCCACAGCUCCCCACAUCUACGCAGUUUUCACCUCCCAGUGGUGAGCAGCAGGGCUGGACCAUGGGGGCUGGACACGGGACUUGACGCCAGUGAGGCCCCAGCUCGUGAGCGGAGGCAGGAAUUGACAUGAGCCAGCACCUAUUCAGCACUUUCACAUAGGAAGGCAUUAAAUCGUCACCACCUCUCAGGAA